GACGAACGCUGGCGGCGUGCCUAAUACAUGCAAGUAGAACGCUGAAGGAGGAGCUUGCUUCUCUGGAUGAGUUGCGAACGGGUGAGUAACGCGUAGGUAACCUGCCUGGUAGCGGGGGAUAACUAUUGGAAACGAUAGCUAAUACCGCAUAAUAUUGACUAUUGCAUGAUAGUCAGUUGAAAGGUGCAACUGCACCACUACCAGAUGGACCUGCGUUGUAUUAGCUAGUUGGUGGGGUAACGGCUCACCAAGGCGACGAUACAUAGCCGACCUGAGAGGGUGAUCGGCCACACUGGGACUGAGACACGGCCCAGACUCCUACGGGAGGCAGCAGUAGGGAAUCUUCGGCAAGGGACGGAAGUCUGACCGAGCAACGCCGCGUGAGUGAAGAAGGUUUUCGGAUCGUAAAGCUCUGUUGUAAGAGAAGAACGAGUGUGAGAGUGGAAAGCUCACACUGUGACGGUAUCUUACCAGAAAGGGACGGCUAACUACGUG
RNAcentral lists this ribosomal RNA (495 nucleotides) under uncultured bacterium. RNAcentral describes it as "partial 16S ribosomal RNA". It matches the Rfam family "Bacterial small subunit ribosomal RNA", at positions 28 to 507 of the family's 1533-position model. The record is from RNAcentral.